RNAcentral lists this long non-coding RNA (311 nucleotides) under Elaeis guineensis (African oil palm). RNAcentral describes it as "long non-coding RNA (EGUI_LNC053538)". The record is from RNAcentral. Lineage: Eukaryota; Viridiplantae; Streptophyta; Magnoliopsida; Arecales; Arecaceae.
ACCAUGACCUGCCACGUGGAGUCUGUUGCGGGGAGUGGAGCGGCAUCCGUUGUCGUGACUUGCCAGAGAGUGGAGGAGCCGCACGGUAUCCAUCGCAGGAAGUGGAGCAGAGUCGUGGCCAUUAUUGUGGUCUGCCAGGGAGUGAUGGAGCCACACGAAAUCCAUCGCAGGAAGUGGAGCAGAGUCGUGGCCGUUACUAUGGCCUGUCAGGGAGUGAUGGAGCCACACGGAAUCCAUCAUAGGAAGUGGAGCAGAGUCGUGGCCGUUACUAUGGCCUGCCAGGGAGUGAUGGAGCUGUGCAGAAUCCAUGC